GGACUACCGGGGUUUCUAAUCCCGUUUGCUCCCCUAGCUUUCGCACCUCAGCGUCAGUUGCAGACCAGAGAGUCGCUUUCGCCACCGGCGUUCCUCCUGAUAUCUACGCAUUUCACCGCUCCACCAGGAAUUCCACUCUCCCCUUCUGCACUCAAGCCAAGUAGUAUCCACUGCAGUUCCCCGGUUAAGCCGGGGGAUUUCACAAUGGACUUGCUCAACCGCCUACGUGCUCUUUAUGCCCAGUGAUUCCGAACAACGUUCGCACCAUACGUAUUACCGCGGCGGCUGGCACG
Molecule: unclassified non-coding RNA, 293 nt
Filed under: uncultured Planctomycetota bacterium
Lineage: Bacteria; Pseudomonadati; Planctomycetota
Description: uncultured planctomycete contains 16S-23S intergenic spacer region
Source: RNAcentral